This 72-nucleotide transfer RNA is filed under the name Camelus bactrianus (Bactrian camel). It matches the Rfam family "tRNA". From Rfam's summary of the family: Transfer RNA (tRNA) molecules are approximately 80 nucleotides in length. Their secondary structure includes four short double-helical elements and three loops (D, anti-codon, and T loops). The record is from Rfam by way of RNAcentral. RNAcentral also lists the same sequence under 2 other names. Lineage: Eukaryota; Metazoa; Chordata; Mammalia; Artiodactyla; Camelidae.
GAGGGUGUAGCUCAGUGGUAGAGCACAUGCUCAGCAUGCACGAGGUCCUGGGUUCAAUCCACAGUACCUCCA